Molecule: transfer RNA, 64 nt
Filed under: Megaloprepus caerulatus
Lineage: Eukaryota; Metazoa; Arthropoda; Insecta; Odonata; Coenagrionidae
Description: tRNA-Leu
Source: RNAcentral
CUAUUUUGGCAGAAAAGUGCCAUGAAUUUAGAAUUCAUAUAUGUAAUAAAUGUUACAAUUAGUA